GAUGAACGCUGGCGGCGUGCCUAAUACAUGCAAGUCGAGCGAACAGACGAUGAGCUUGCUCCUCUGACGUUAGCGGCGGACGGGUGAGUAACACGUGUAUAACCUACCUAUAAUACGGGGAUAACUUCGGGAAACCGGAUCUAAUACCGGAUAAGAUAUUGAACCACAGGGUGCAAUAGUGAAAGACGGUUGUUCUGGCACUUAUAGAGGGAUCCGCGCCGCUUUAGAUGGUUGGGAAGGUAACGGGUUACUAAGGGAACGAGGCGUAGCCGAACGGAGGGGCGGAUGGGCCACACUGGAACGGGGCCGCGGUCCAGGGUCCUACGGGACGGACCAGUCGGGAAUCUUACGCAACGGGGGAAAGCAUGACGGAGUAAGGCGGAGCGAGUGAUGAAGGUCUUCGGAUCGUAAAACUGUGUUAUUAGGGAAGAACCAAUGUGUCAGUAACUAUGCACGUCUUGACGGUACCUAAUCAGAAAGCAACGGCUAACUACGUG
RNAcentral lists this ribosomal RNA (497 nucleotides) under uncultured bacterium. RNAcentral's name for it is "partial 16S ribosomal RNA". It matches the Rfam family "Bacterial small subunit ribosomal RNA", at positions 28 to 507 of the family's 1533-position model. The record is from RNAcentral.